GGCCUUAUAUCUCCGACAACGAAGAGUUUACUAGCCUUACCAGGUAUGACACGGCCUUAUAUCUCCGACAACGAACAGUUUACUAGCCUUACCAGGUAUGACAUGGCCUUAUAUCUCCGACAACGAAGAGUUUACUAGCCUUACCAGGUAUGACACGGCCUUAUAUCUCCGACAACGAACAGUUUACUAGCCUUACCAGGUAUGACAUGGCCUUAUAUCUCGGACAACGAACAGUUUACUAGCCUUACCAGGUAUGACACGGCCUUACAUCUCGGACAACGAACAGUUUACUAGCCUUACCAGUUCGGAUACUCACCAGUCAUGAUAAAGAUAACAACUGUCAAUUUUAUAAAUUGUAUAUGUAUCACUAUACUAAUGUUUGUAAGCUAGGUCUCAGAUCUUUCAGAUACUCUGAAAAUCGCCCGCUGACCUGGGUAAACAUCAUAAUAAAGUUUAUAUUUCGCAUUCAU
Molecule: long non-coding RNA, 470 nt
Organism: Pecten maximus
Lineage: Eukaryota; Metazoa; Mollusca; Bivalvia; Pectinida; Pectinidae
Exons: 2
Source: RefSeq, a predicted model, not a curated record